Desertifilum sp. is the source of this 119-nucleotide transfer RNA. It matches the Rfam family "tRNA". From Rfam's summary of the family: Transfer RNA (tRNA) molecules are approximately 80 nucleotides in length. Their secondary structure includes four short double-helical elements and three loops (D, anti-codon, and T loops). The record is from Rfam. NCBI's taxonomy places the organism in Bacteria, Bacillati, Cyanobacteriota, Cyanophyceae, Desertifilales, Desertifilaceae.
GGACGGAUAGCUCAGGGGUUAGAGUACCUUCCCUAUUCGCCACUUGCCCACCGGGCCGAUGAAUUAGGGUUAUCGGCUUACUAUCCGGGAGGUCGCGGGUUCGAGUCCCGCUCCGUCCA